UCAAAAUCAAACCAGAAUCUUAUAUAAAAACGAAAAAAGGGAUAAAAUCUCUCUUUUCACUUAAAGCUCCUCUUCGGAGUUCACCCCUGCUGAGGUAGAGAGAGAGAGAGAGAAAGUGUGUGUACUUCCAACGGCGGGAAACGGAAUUCUGCCUAAAAUCUCAAUUUCUCCAAAAUCACCAAUCCCCAUUUUUCUCCAUUCUCAAAACCCUAAAAAUUUCAUCUUUUCUCUCACCUUCAAAUAUCUCUACCAUUGAUUAAUUUAUUCACCACAAUCUCUUCAAUGGCGUUUUCUGCUUCUCAAACCUUAAUCGAGGAGGAAAAUUGCCAUGAACAACACAACCACCAUCAACAAAUUCCAGAUUCGCGCAAAUUGGUUUCCGCAGAAGAUAUCGAUAGUCAUUACGCGGGUACUCCAAUUAGGUUUCUUCCUCUUCACCAUGUUUAUUCCGCUACUUCUCCUUGUGUUAGUGCUAGUGGUUCGUCCAAUGUUGUUUCUAAGAAGGUUCAAGCUCGUAAACUAACCCUAAUCGAGACUUCUUUUGAUGAUCAUAACCAUAACCUCCGAAUUCAAAAGGAGGAGGUGGAGAAUAAGGUUGCUGUAGAACCACAAUGCAAUAUGGAGCCUUUAUCCGAUUCACCUCGAGUCAUUCGGGUUUACUCUCGCCGCCGCAAGAAUAAACAUGCUGUCAAUUUGAACGCCCAGGAGAAACCAAUUUUAGUUAAAGAGGAGCCUGUUGAGGAGGAGGGUUUUGUUGGGGAUGCUUCGCUGGCUUCUCCCAAUAAAAGAAGAAGGAUUUCAAAAUUUGAGCUUCUUAGUUUAGGGGUUGAUUCCAGUGUUUUGUGUAGGCUAAAUGGACCUCGGUUGCGCGAAUCUCGAUUUCAUUAUAAUCAGAAGACUACUACUAAAUCAUCCGUGAAGAAAAAGCAGCAGAAUUCUUCUGUUAAGCGCAAGACUCAAGAUGAUUGGCAGGCGGAUAAAUGGUUCUUGUUAUUUUUUGAAGAUGCUGAUCCUAUCAAAUUUAUUGGAUUAAAAUGCCAGAUUUACUGGCCAUUGGAUGAUGUUUGGUACAAAGGUUCAAUAUCUGGCUAUGAUUCAGAUUCUAAAAAGCACAAUGUAAAGUAUGAAGAUGGUGAUGCAGAAGAGUUGAUUUUAUCGCAAGAACAAAUUAGAUUUCGUAUAUCUGGAGAAGAAAUGCAGAAACUAAACCUCAAAGGGAAAGAAUGUAUGGAUGAUGACGAUCCUGAUUACAGUCAGUUGAUUGGGCUAGCCGCUAGUGUGGAUGAGAGUCGUGAGCAUGAGCCUGGGGAUAUCAUUUGGGCAAAACUUACAGGUCAUGCUAUGUGGCCAGCAGUCAUUUUGGAUGAAUCACUCGUAAGUGACCGCAAAGGAUUAAAUAAAUGCUCAGGACGAAGAUCAGUUCCUGUGCAAUUCUUUGGAACUCAUGAUUUUGCAAGGGUACAGGUGAAACAAAUAGUAUCGUUUGUGAAAGGACUUCUUUCUUGUUUCCACUUAAAGUGCAAAUCUUCACGUUUUCUUCGGGGCCUGAAAGAAGCAAAAACGUACUUGAACGAGCAAAAACUUCCCAGAAGCAUGGAAAACAUGCAGUGUGAAUCCAAGGAUGUUCAAAUUGUUGAUUUGGAUGAAACUUUAAAGAAGGAUGAUGAUGUGCCAAAUUCAAGAGGGCGGUUUAAACCCUCUUCAAACAAAUCAUUGUUUGAAGGAUUACAAAAACUGCCUAAUGGUUCUUUGCCUAUUAAAAUAAAUUGGAGAGAUCUUGACAGAUGCAACGUUUGCCAUAUGGAUGAGGAAUAUGAGAACAACCUAUUCCUGCAGUGUGAUAAAUGCAGAAUGAUGGUUCAUGCCAGGUGCUAUGGGGAGGAGUCAGUUGAUGGUGGCCUUUGGUUGUGUAAUCUCUGUCGAGUUGGAGCACCUGAAUUUACUCCGCCUUGUCGUCUUUGCCCUGUUUUAGGUGGAGCAAUGAAGCCCACAACUGAUGGUCACUGGGCUCAUCUAGCUUGCGCUAUCUGGAUUCCUGAAACGUGCUUAGCUGAUAUCAAAAAGAUGGAGCCUAUUGACGGUAUUAGCAGGAUUAAUAAGGAUCGGUGGAAGCUUUUAUGUAGUAUCUGUGGUAUUCCGUAUGGAGCAUGCAUCCAGUGCUCUAACAACAAUUGUUAUGUUGCAUAUCAUCCGCUUUGUGCGCGUGUGGCUGGUCUUUGUGUUGAGCUUGAAGAUGAAGACAGGCUUCAUCUCAUUCCUGUAGAUGAAGACGAGGAGGAUCAGUGUAUUCGUUUACUCUCUUUCUGCAAAAGACAUAAGCAGCCAUCUAAGGAUCGUCCAAUCGUGGAUGAGAAAAAUGAAAACAGUUUUUGUGAGGAUUUGAGCUACACGCCCCCAAAUAAUGAUUCUGGAUGUGCACGCUGCGAGCCUUAUGAUUAUUCUGCUAGAAGAGGACGUAAAGAGCCCGAAGUCCUUGCCGCAUCAUCGGCUAAACGUUUAUUUUUGGAGAAUAGGCCACACUUGCUUGGUGGGUUCUACCCACACGAUUCUGUGGUUCGCAAAUCAGUGGAGGACAACACUUGUAAUGGUUCUAAGCUCUAUUCUGGGAUUCAAACUGGAUCGUUAAACCAGGAAGCUUUGCCAAGCAUACAUUCAAUGGCUGAUAAAUAUAGAUACAUGAGGAAUACCUUUAGAAGGAGAUUAGCAUUUGGGAAAUCUAAAAUACAUGGAUUUGGAAUCUUUGCUAAACUGCCACAUAAAGCUGGAGACAUGGUUAUAGAAUAUACCGGUGAACUUGUAAGACAGCCCGUGGCUGAUCGAAGAGAACGUCUUAUAUAUAAUUCAUUAGUGGGCGCUGGAACCUAUAUGUUCCGGAUAGAUGAUGAGCGUGUCAUUGAUGCUACUCGGGCAGGAAGUAUUGCUCAUUUGAUCAACCAUUCAUGUGAACCAAAUUGUUAUUCUAGAGUUAUAACUGUUUGUGGUGAUGAACACAUUAUGAUAUUUGCCAAAAGAGAUAUCAAACAAUGGGAAGAACUGACCUAUGAUUACAGGUUCUUUUCCAUAGAUGUAGAACUUUCAUGUAGUUGCGGUGCAAAAAGAUGUCGUGGAGUAGUAAACGAUACGGAAGCUGAAGAGCAGGCUGCUAAGCUGCAUGUUAAUCGCAGUGAGCUAAUUGAUUGGAAGGGGGAGUAAGAGCUGCCACUCAUAGCACCUUAGAAGAUUACACGAUCGACAAGUUGUUCCCUUGUGUGAGACGUUCCCUACAAUUGAUUGCAGCCCAUCUGAGAUUCUUACUGAUGGAGACAGCAUAUUUCUUCUGUAAAAUUAAUCUCAUCUGAGACUGCCUUACCUUGUUAGCAAGAAGUGCUACAGUUCCUUUUCAGCUUCUGAUUGUUUCGGCUUCUCAUGCUUGUAACUUAUCCUUAUUUUUCUUAUCUACUUAGGUUAAUGAGAACCGCAAAUCCUUCUCAUCUUCUUUGUCCUUUCUAAUUGUCACCGUUAGGUCCAUGACUCUAGCUUUUUUUAUGUACAAUUGUACAUAGACUUUACAUUUUUUUUAUCAUUCUAGAGUUUAAGGCUUUCAGCUUUUUUGUAGCAGUUUUACACACUUUAUGAAUCAGUUAGUGGGCAAUGGUUUCCAUUUGAGAGCGUGUGUGAUGAGUUAUGUGUUCAUAUAGCUACUGGUUGAAUAUGAAAUUCCAAUGUAGCUUCAUUGAGAAUGCGAACCAAGACAUUUCUUCCGGAUAUGUAAACUUCAUCCUAUUAGAUGGAUGUUAAUUUGAGAUAUUUAUUUUUAAUAGAAGAUAUUCUAUAUGGUUACUCUGAAUCCAAGGGGCAUGCUACACUUCAUAUCUUCUUGUUGAAAUAUGGUUUUAGCAGGAGAGCCUUAAAGAAUUGGAUCUUUUAGGAACAAGUAUUAUCUUUCUCGGUCAAAGUCAUGUAAUCGAAUUUCACCUAACCCUCUCCUCCCGUCAAUCUACUCUAUUAUCCAAAAAAAAGAGCCUCAAAAACCACUAGUGUGAUAGAAAUGUUGCAUUUUGGUAGUAUCUUUGAUUUUUAGAAAAGGGGAGCGCUUUCUAAAGAAUGUAUUAUGUAGGGAAGCUAUUGGAAAAAGAACCUGUGAAGAAUGAUCUCAAGAAAAUAAUUUUCAUUAUGUUAAGCCAUUUUAGUUUUUCUUUGGACGGUACGAGGGGUGUUUUCUUAACACUUUGACACUCCACCAUGGUGUUCACACUUGAAAGCUUCAUUUUGGAAAACUGAUCACAAAGUAGUCAAAUCAAGACCUGCAUAAACCAGUCAAUGUAAUUAUAACACCUUGACCUCGUUCGGGCUGGUGACUUACCGAUGGAGCUCGUAGACUACUCUUCAAACCAUAAUAAGCCUUAUUUGGCGUACUUUGUCAUCACUUUUGCGCCCCUUCAAAAUUUCCAAGGAAGUCAACCAUCUUUAGACUACUCUACACUAGACACACUAAGUUGUGGAGUUAACAAAUGAAAUCCCUUAAAAUAAUGUGCCUUGUUGACAUGAAUUGUACUAUUUCGUUUUUUUUUUAAUUCUAUUUCAAUCUAGAUCCAAAUAUGAGGUCUAACAUUCACUCCUACUUAGGUUCUCGAUGUCCUCAUUGCACCUACAAGCAUGGAAGAUAAAACGUGGAUGCAUUUGCUGAAACGGUCUUGUUGCGAAAAAUGGCUAUAACAUAGUACAAAGGCCAAUUCGUGGCCAGUAUGGUGUAAAUUUUUGAAAAAAAUCACAUAAAGCGGAGUGGCCAGGUAUCGCACAUAUCUCACUACUGCAGCUGUACCAAUCAGUAGGCAGUCGCCUUGUUUCUUGUUUUCGGGUUGCUAUGUUCGACGAGAAAAACCCAAUUGAUAUAUGUCAAAUGUCGUAACCCCAUAUAUUUUUUUCCGACUUUCUCUAAUUGCUGGUCGGAAACUUUAAUUCGUGCAAGGGACAAUCGGAAACCCACUUUUUAACAAGGCUUGUCGGAUUGGGGUUGAAUUCCUUUGCUGAUUUCACUCAUGUGGGUUGUGUUGUGUGUGUGGUAUUGGUACGAUUCUUCAAGCUCGUUUGGAUGAAGAUUCACUUCAUGAUUUUUUUCUGAAUUACUGUGGAGUUGUAUGAGACUAUGUGUUCCUCGAUUCAGUAUCAAGAUUCUUUACCCUCAUUGGAAUACACGUAUCAAAUGCUCCUUCAAGAGGAACGCUUAGAAAGUUUGUUAAGAACAUGUUGACAAGGUUGACAUUGGAACCUUCUUCGUGACAUUCGAAUCUCCUACCGGAGAUAAAGUUGCUUUGUUCCCAUAGCAAUCGUCGUGAUCAUAUGUCGACAUGGGUAUUUCGAAUGGUGGGAACAUCAAACUCGACAUGGGUGAAUCAUGUUGCAAGGGGGUUCCCAUUUUCAAGGGCAGUUAACAAAAGCCCAACAUGCCACAAUUUUGUUGCCCUUAAGGACGCAUAGUGGUGGUCAGUGCUUAUUUCUUAAGACUACUCUUGUGAGAGACCGUCUUCCGGUAAGAUAACCUCAAAACAAGAAACUUACAUGUGAAUAAUUUUUAUUAGUUGGAUAAUUUAAUCAUGUAUGGGGCAGAUUACACGGUGAAACCGCCUCUUACAAGAAUGUCUUUACUGUUAGUUCUUCAUAUAAUAUUCCGUCUAUUCAUAUAAUUUUCUGUGUUGAGUUUGUUGGGAUAUUCAAUGCAUAUUGGUUGAUACUUGAUUGUGUUGAGCUUAUUGUAAUUAGUCUUAGUCCGUAUAUAUUUUUUAUAUAUACUGUCUUGUAGUAGUUCCUAUGAGUAAUGUUGAUUACUCAUGUUGAAUUUUAUGCUUUUGCAUGGUAUUUUACAACCAUUGUGCAAAAUAUAAGAAUCCGUUAUAUGGCAUGGUCACGCUGUAAAUGUAUUCGAAAUUAGAUUGGUUUCAGGUCAAGUAUUUCAGGUCGAUUUAAAAUCAAAUUUGUAUUCAUUUUAGUUUUUACUUAAUUUUCAAUAUAUUUUUUAAAUCCAAUAGUUAGAUAUCAAAUUGUCAAAUAUAUUUUAAACAUUCCUAUUAUGUCCCAUAAAAUUUACACUAUCAUAUUUGUCCCAUAAUUAUUUUCAA
This is an RNA transcript of Amaranthus tricolor (Joseph's coat), 6095 nucleotides long. It is a transcript of the gene named histone H3-lysine(4) N-trimethyltransferase ATX1-like, with no coding region annotated. NCBI's taxonomy places the organism in Eukaryota, Viridiplantae, Streptophyta, Magnoliopsida, Caryophyllales, Amaranthaceae. The transcript has 24 exons. The record is from RefSeq and is a predicted model, not a curated record.